UACGUAGGAUGCGAGCGUUGUCCGGAAUUACUGGGCGUAAAGAGCUUGUAGGCGGUUUGUCGCGUCGUCUGUGAAAAAUCACAGCUCAACUGUGAGCUUGCAGGCGAAACGGGCAGACUUGAGUACUGCAGGGGAGACUGGAAUUCCUGGUGUAGCGGUGAAAUGCGUAGAUAUCAGGAGGAACACCGGUGGCGAAGGCGGGUCUCUGGGCAGUAACUGACGCUGAGAAGCGAAAGCGUGGGUAGCGAACAGG
Molecule: ribosomal RNA, 253 nt
Filed under: uncultured bacterium
Lineage: Bacteria
Description: partial 16S ribosomal RNA
Rfam family: Bacterial small subunit ribosomal RNA
Source: RNAcentral